GGAGAAGUGCGAGAGUGGUUGAAUCGGGCGCUCUCGAAAAGCGCUAUGCCGGAAACGGCAUCGAGGGUUCGAAUCCCUCCUUCUCCG
RNAcentral lists this transfer RNA (87 nucleotides) under Patescibacteria group bacterium. Its description in RNAcentral is "tRNA-Ser". It matches the Rfam family "tRNA". From Rfam's summary of the family: Transfer RNA (tRNA) molecules are approximately 80 nucleotides in length. Their secondary structure includes four short double-helical elements and three loops (D, anti-codon, and T loops). Further hydrogen bonds mediate the characteristic L-shaped molecular structure. tRNAs have two regions of fundamental functional importance: the anti-codon, which is responsible for specific mRNA codon recognition, and the 3' end, to which the tRNAs corresponding amino acid is attached (by aminoacyl-tRNA synthetases). tRNAs cope with the degeneracy of the genetic code in two manners: having more than one tRNA (with a specific anti-codon) for a particular amino acid; and 'wobble' base-pairing, i.e. permitting non-standard base-pairing at the 3rd anti-codon position. RNAcentral also lists the same sequence under 1 other name. The record is from RNAcentral.